Molecule: ribosomal RNA, 1183 nt
Filed under: uncultured bacterium
Lineage: Bacteria
Description: bacterial SSU rRNA
Rfam family: Bacterial small subunit ribosomal RNA
Source: RNAcentral
AGAGUUUGAUCCUGGCUCAGGAUGAACGCUGGCGGCGUGCCUAACACAUGCAAGUCGAACGAGAACCCAUUCUUCGGAUUGGGGGACAGUGGCGAACGGGUGAGUAACACGUUGGUGACCUGCCCCGAAGUGAGGGACAAUCCUGCGAAAGCGGGGCUAAUACCUCAUGUGCUCCAGGGGGUUAGAGGCCCCUGGAGUAAAGCUCCGGCGCUUCGGGAGGGGCCUGCGGUCUAUCAGCUAGUUGGUGGGGUAACGGCUCACCAAGGCUAAGACGGGUAGGGGGCGUGAGAGCGUGGCCCCCCACAAUGGAACUGAGACACGGUCCAUACUCCUACGGGAGGCAGCAGUGAGGAAUAUUGCGCAAUGGGGGAAACCCUGACGCAGCAACGCCGCGUGGGUGAUGAAGGCCUUCGGGUCGUAAAACCCUUUUCUGGGGGAAGAGAAAGGACGGUACCUCAGGAAUAAGUCCCGGCUAACUACGUGCCAGCAGCCGCGGUAAAACGUAGGGGGCGAGCGUUAUCCGGAUUUACUGGGCGUAAAGCGCGUGCAGGCGGCUUGGUAGGUUGGACGUGAAAGCUCUUGGCUCAACUGAGAGAGGUCGUUCAAUACCGCCAAGCUUGAGGACGGAAGAGGGGAGCGGAAUUCCCGGUGUAGUGGUGGAAUGCGUAGAUAUCGGGAGGAACACCCGUGGCGAAGGCGGCUCCCUGGUCCGCACCUGACGCUGAGACGCGAAAGCGUGGGUAGCAAACGGGAUUAGAUACCCCGGUAGUCCACGCCGUAAACGAUGGAUGCUAGGUGUAGGCGGUAUUGACCCCAUCUGUGCCGUAGCUAACGCGUUAAGCAUCCCGCCUGGGGACUACGGCCGCAAGGUUAAAACUCAAAGGAAUUGACGGGGCCCGCACAAGCAGCGGAGCGUGUGGUUUAAUUCGAUGCACACGAAGAACUUACCAGGGCUUGACAUGCGCGUGGUAGGACGAAAGGGGACGACCCUCGGGAGCGUGCACAGGUGCUGCAUGCUGUCGUCAGCUCUGCUGUGGUGUGGGUAGUCCGCACGAGCGCACCUCGUCGCUAGUUAUACUUUUCUAGCGGGACUGCCGAAAACUCGGAGGAAGGGGGGGAGAGACGUCAGUCGCAUGCUUUAUGUUUCUGGCUACACACGCUAAUGGGCGGUACACGGGUGCCA